This 263-nucleotide small nuclear RNA is filed under the name Chinchilla lanigera (long-tailed chinchilla). RNAcentral's name for it is "7SK RNA (ENSCLAG00000021325.1)". It matches the Rfam family "7SK RNA". From Rfam's summary of the family: 7SK was discovered as an abundant small nuclear RNA in the mid-70s but a possible function has only recently been suggested. Lineage: Eukaryota; Metazoa; Chordata; Mammalia; Rodentia; Chinchillidae. The record is from Rfam by way of RNAcentral.
GCAUGUGCGGGUGAAAUGGCUGUGAUGUCAGUCACCCCACUGAUCUGCUGGGUUGAUUCCACUGACUUGGCCAGCCAGACCGGUGGCCCCUUCCUCCCUUGCUGCUCCUGAAGGUGGGGGAGGGUCCGGGUCCUUGGUCAGAGGUACAGAGUAGCUGAGCUCCCCUGCUACGACCUCCAAACAAACUCUCAGAAAAGGAGUGGGAGCAAGGGGAUAAAAGAAAGAAUUAUGUACAUGUACCAAUUCCCUCCAGUGAAGGUAAU